This 776-nucleotide ribosomal RNA is filed under the name uncultured Neocallimastigales. Its description in RNAcentral is "partial large subunit ribosomal RNA". It matches the Rfam family "Eukaryotic large subunit ribosomal RNA", at positions 23 to 638 of the family's 3401-position model. Lineage: Eukaryota; Fungi; Neocallimastigomycota; Neocallimastigomycetes; Neocallimastigales. The record is from RNAcentral.
GAGACUCUGUGCGCGUGCAUAUCAAUAAGCGGAGGAAAAGAAGCUAACAAGGAUUCCCCUAGUAACGGCGAGUGAAGCGGGAAGGAGCUCAAAUUUGAAAUCUUAAAGGGUUUCCCUUUACGAAUUGUAGUUUAAAGAAGUGUUUUCUGUUGGAGUUUCGGUAAAAGUUCUUUGGAAUAGGACAUCAUAGAGGGUGAGAAUCCCGUAUUUGGUCAUUCCUCCUAGCUGUUGUGAUACACUUUCAACGAGUCGGAUUGUUUGGGAAUGCAGUCCAAGAUGGGUGGUAAAUUUCAUCUAAAGCUAAAUAUUGGCGAGAGACCGAUAGCGAACAAGUACCGUGAGGGAAAGAUGAAGAGAACUUUGAAAAGAGAGUUAAACAGUACGUGAAAUUGUCAAAAGGGAAGCGUUUGACACCAGUGUUGUUUAGUUGAAAAUCAAUUCAAUAGUUUUUGAUUCUAAGUAGUAUUGACUUCAUCAGCUUGCUGCUUUCUUCUCAGAAGUUAUUGAAUGCACUUUUCAGUUAACAAGUCAACAUCAAUUUCUUUUGUUGUAAAAGGGUAAGAGGAAGGUGGCUUGCGCUUCGGCUCAAGUGUUUAUAGCCUUUUAUCUCUGCAAUCGGAGAGAUUGAGGUCUGCAGCGUAGGUCCUUCGGGGUUAGAUACAUUGGUGCUAAGCUAUAGCCUUGUAUAGACAACUUGUUGACUAUGCUCAGUCAUGUAGCUUACUCGCUGAUGCUAUUUUACCUACGCUUAGGAUGUUGACAGCAGUAUAGACUGU